RNAcentral lists this non-coding RNA (28 nucleotides) under Rattus norvegicus (Norway rat). Lineage: Eukaryota; Metazoa; Chordata; Mammalia; Rodentia; Muridae. The record is from RNAcentral.
AGGUUAUUUAGUGCCUGGGAGUCUGUGG